Bos taurus (domestic cattle) is the source of this 631-nucleotide long non-coding RNA. Lineage: Eukaryota; Metazoa; Chordata; Mammalia; Artiodactyla; Bovidae. The record is from Ensembl.
AUGGAACUACGUUGGUCAAGUCUGGAUCUCAGGUUCAGCAGGCUGAAGACUGGUUUGGCAACCCAUGAAAUCUGCAAGAAGGGGUGGAUCACUGCUCCCAAAUGAAAUAAUAUACAGUACUGGAGGAAGAUAGGGGAGGAGAUGCUGCAUAGACACAACUGACAGAGGUUGGAGAAAAGAGGAAACCAUAGAGCAUACUCUGAGAUGGGCAGCCUUCCAAACAUCACAAUUACUUCUGUGGAAAAGCAGAGCUAAGACUGAGAGGGUAUCCGAGAAUGUAUGGAUAACAAGAGAAUGAAUAUCUCAAGAAAUCAGACUCUGUUGAAAUCCCCCCCUUUUGAACCUAAUCCUCUCUCUCUUUAAAGGUAGCGGAAUAUAGAGAGACAAGAGUGGAAACGUGUAAACCAGUUGAAAGACUCUUCAGAGUGCAGCAGAAAGCCAGCGGUGGCUACAGUUAAGGUAACAGCAACUGAAAUGAAGAGACAAGGAGAAAUUUGGUAUAUAUUUUGGAAAUGCAGCUGAUUGGACUUUCACAUAGAUUUAAUAGGAAGGUGGAGUUGCAGAGAGAAGACAUUUAGACUCCUAAGUGGUAUGACUGACAAUACUCUUAAAUAUUUCCCAAUUUGAGUGG